CCUACGGGCGGCUGCAGUAAGGAAUAUUGGUCAAUGGAGGAAACUCUGAACCAGCCAUCCCGCGUGAAGGAUGAAGGGGCUCUGCCUUGUAAACUUCUUUUGUCUGGGGCGAAAAAGCUCGAUUUAUCGAGAACUGACGGUACCAGACGAAUAAGCACCGGCUAACUCCGUGCCAGCAGCCGCGGUAAUACGGAGGGUGCCAGCGGCAUCCGGCAUCACGGGUUCUAAGGGGUGUUUGGGCGUCUUAGGAGAAAGGCUGUGGCUUAACCAUGGAAUUGCCAUUGAUACUGCAGAGCUUGAAUGAGGUUGAGGUUGGCGGAAUGUGACAUGUAGCGGUGAAAUGCUUAGAUAUGUCAUGGAACACCGAUUGCGAAGGCAGCUGACUGGACCUAUAUUGACGCUGAGGCACGAAAGCGUGGGGAGCGAACAGGAUUAGAUACCCCAGUAGUC
This 450-nucleotide ribosomal RNA is filed under the name uncultured bacterium. Its description in RNAcentral is "partial 16S ribosomal RNA". It matches the Rfam family "Bacterial small subunit ribosomal RNA", at positions 338 to 795 of the family's 1533-position model. The record is from RNAcentral.